Molecule: long non-coding RNA, 250 nt
Filed under: Durio zibethinus
Lineage: Eukaryota; Viridiplantae; Streptophyta; Magnoliopsida; Malvales; Malvaceae
Description: long non-coding RNA (DZIB_LNC000602)
Source: RNAcentral
UCACGUUCUUUUUUCUUGUGCUCUUGUUCCUAACAGGGGCUUCCCUCUUUUCUUCUUUAUUGCUUCCAGUUUUUGUUGGCAGCCUCACGCCUCCUGGAUUCUGCUUGUCUAUCACGUCUUUUCCCUGCACUUUUCUCUUCAUUGAUUCUUUUUCUUUUUUGCUUCUUUGGUCUGUUCUUUUUGCUUUUUCUUUUCAUUUUUUUUUUGGCUUCCCCGUUUUCUGCCCCAGCCUUCUCUUCCAGCUUGUCAG